RNAcentral lists this ribosomal RNA (491 nucleotides) under Micrococcus sp. CH7. Its description in RNAcentral is "bacterial LSU rRNA". It matches the Rfam family "Bacterial large subunit ribosomal RNA", at positions 2444 to 2925 of the family's 2925-position model. The record is from RNAcentral. Lineage: Bacteria; Bacillati; Actinomycetota; Actinomycetes; Micrococcales; Micrococcaceae.
GUCGCUCAACGGAUAAAAGGUACCUCGGGGAUAACAGGCUGAUCUUGCCCAAGAGUCCAUAUCGACGGCAUGGUUUGGCACCUCGAUGUCGGCUCGUCGCAUCCUGGGGCUGGAGUAGGUCCCAAGGGUUGGGCUGUUCGCCCAUUAAAGCGGUACGCGAGCUGGGUUCAGAACGUCGUGAGACAGUUCGGUCCCUAUCCUCUGCGCGCGUUGGAAAUUUGAGAAGGUCUGUCCUUAGUACGAGAGGACCGGGACGGACGAACCUCUGGUAUGUCAGUUGUACCGCCAGGUGCAUGGCUGAUUAGCUACGUUCGGGAUGGAUAACCGCUGAAAGCAUCUAAGCGGGAAGCCGGCUUCGAGAUGAGAUUUCCUUGCCCCUUUGAGGGUGUGAGGCCCCCAGCUAGAACACUGGGUUGAUAGGCUGGAUGUGGAAGCGAGGACUGAAGACUCGUGAAGCUGACCAGUACUAAUAGGCCGAUGACUUACACACA